GUCUAUGGCCAUGCCACCCUGAACAAGCCCGAUGUCUGAUCUCAGAAGCUAAGCAGUGUCAGGCCUGGUUAGUACUUGGAUGGGAGACCACCUAAGAAGACCAGAUGCUGUAGGCA
RNAcentral lists this ribosomal RNA (116 nucleotides) under Pteropus alecto (black flying fox). The record is from RNAcentral. Lineage: Eukaryota; Metazoa; Chordata; Mammalia; Chiroptera; Pteropodidae.